RNAcentral lists this unclassified non-coding RNA (292 nucleotides) under Hevea brasiliensis (rubber tree). Lineage: Eukaryota; Viridiplantae; Streptophyta; Magnoliopsida; Malpighiales; Euphorbiaceae. The record is from RNAcentral.
GGACUUCAUGAGUGCAACAAACUUCAGUGUUUCGUGAAUCAGUGAAAUAAUGAUUCAUAAAACAAAAGCCAGAGGAGACAUUAUCAGAUUCAAUUAAGCAAUUUAAAAGCAUCAAAAGCAACUGAAUACUUGGCCAUUUCUUCUUUUCUUACGAGCAAUAGAACUGCAAGAAUUCUGGUGCAAACUUUGUUACCUGGAAAAAAAAAUUCAUUAAUCAAGUAAAAAGAUUUCUUCUUUUACAUAGACACUCAAACAUAAACAACCACCAAAACAAUGAAAUUAUAAGAUGUUU